This 241-nucleotide ribosomal RNA is filed under the name uncultured Staphylococcus sp. Its description in RNAcentral is "partial 16S ribosomal RNA". It matches the Rfam family "Bacterial small subunit ribosomal RNA", at positions 99 to 334 of the family's 1533-position model. Lineage: Bacteria; Bacillati; Bacillota; Bacilli; Caryophanales; Staphylococcaceae. The record is from RNAcentral.
CGGACGGGUGAGUAACACGUGGAUAACCUACCUAUAAGACUGGGAUAACUUCGGGAAACCGGAGCUAAUACCUGAUAAUAUAUUGAACCGCAUGGUUCAAUAGUGAAAGACGGUUUUGCUGUCACUUAUAGAUGGAUCCGCGUCGCAUUAGCUAGUUGGUAAGGUAACGGCUUACCAAGGCAACGAUGCGUAGCCGACCUGAGAGGGUGAUCGGCCACACUGGAACUGAGACACGGUCCAG